GGAGGGAGGGGGAUUGCAAUCUGUUGUGUAUAUGAUGCUUGGAAACAUUUAGAUAUAUAGACAGGUAUAGGUAUAGGUAUAAAUGAUGUAGAUAUAGACUGAUAUAGACAGGUAAAUAGGUUAGAGAGAGACAGGCAGACAGAAAGUUUCAGGCAAAGUAUAAACCGACAUGGAAUACAAUCAUUGUUAUACUUAGCAGAGAUGUUUUGUUCAGACCACACGAUAUCUCUGUGAGAUGGCUCUAUUCUAAAGGCAAGGAUUGGCAAAGUGAAUUCAACAUUGUUAGUAGUUUGGCAUGUUGUUACGUCUCUUUUAAAAUAGCCCUCAGACUCCUAUUUAUCCUAGUAAUGAUCAAGUCCAGACUUUUCCUUCAUUUUACAUACGCUUCCUUCUACAAUUAGAGGGACAACUGUGGCCCAAAUUACUAAAACAGGAAUAAUGAUAAAUAACCAGGAAUAAAUAUUGGGAUUCAUUAUCAACGGAAAUACAUGACAAAAAUGCUCACCCACAAAGUCAGAAUAACCAAAACAUGGUUUGUGCCAGACCAAAGGAACCCUUUUUUUGCUAUUGUGGGUAUAUGCUAUUUAUGAUGGGUAUAUACCGUAUGCAUCCCAGCAACUGGGGCAGCCUUGCACUGGACAAAGGACAGAGGUGCCCCUCUCUGACAGGAGGACUUCCAGCAUCAGCUUCCAUUUGCUGAAGUACUUGCAUAAGAGCAGAUUUUAAAAUAUUUAAGAAUCAAACCUAUGCCCGCACUCAAAUAAUACAGGUGUGACUUUACUUAGACUUCUAGCAUGCUAUCUUGAGAGCUUCUAUUUAUUUAAAUGGCAAAAUCGAGAUCAUGUGUGUUUGCAGGAUGGUGCCCACGUGCAGUACGUAGUAUUAUUUUAUGUUUAACAUCUCUCAUGCCCAUUCAGCUCAAAUGGCAUUGCAUAUAGCACCCUAUAUGCAAUUAGUGCGGGUUUCAUUAAUGAACAUAUGUGCAUUAGAAACUAAUUAUGGAAAACAGUAUUAACCUUAUUGUAAUAAUUAGCAAUAAUGCACAUUUAAACACUUCUAGAACAGAUACACACAAAAAACUGUAGGGAUGAGAAAAUUCCAAUUUUCCUCACAAACUCUUAACUGAGGAAAUAUAUGGGUUAGAAACAAAGAAUAAACCAUAACUGAAGCCAUUCAGUGCUUUUUUCAACAUCAUUUCCUAGUGUUAUUGAAAUAUUUUUAUGCAGAUAGUUGCCAAAUAACUGGAUUAUUCUAUUGUAGCCUCAAAUUAGCUGAGUUCUGCAGAUGACAUGUAAAGAAUGAUAGAAUUUGGUACCAUUUAAAACACUCUUUGGGACACUCAACCUGUACUGAUCAUUUCUCCAGAUGACAGUGGGGUUUUGGGAAGGGCACACCAUACUCUGUUUUGAAGAUGCAUUUCUAAGUAAUUUAUGCACAGUUAUUUUGUUUAUGCUUGAAAAAUUGCAUCUCUUUUCCUUUAAAAAUCUAAUAGAGAAUUACAGAAUUUGUAAAAACCUGUUCAGUUCUAAUUCAUCUGACCUACCUAUGUAUGUCAUAGCCCCUUACAGAAAUGGCUCCAUCAUUGGAAAGGAUAUCCUUGAAGGAUAUAUGCUGAACGUCAGAACUGAAACCCAGCGUUUGAGCUGGAGUAAAGCUGUUCUACUGGACUUGGUGUCCCCACAAAUGUGAAGAAAUUAAGACUGACCUACUAUCAAUGGUGGAGAAUUGAAAGGAGCCAAACUGUCAUAUUAGGGCUGUAUAAUGCACGUCUGAUCAACAUCAACCUAUGCGUGGGCUGUGUCUUUCAUAGAAUACAACAAGUAAUACACCAUAAUGAAUCAUAAUGCAUCCGCAAAAAGUCAAAUUCAAAUCCAUUAAGGAAUUGCUCAGUUGAAUGUGGAGCUUCCCUAAAGCAUGCUAAAUUUCAUUCUCCUGAAGAAACAAGAAAAGGAGAAGAGUCAUAACGUUGUUCUGGUGAACCUGUUGAUAUGCAUGGCGGUUUUCUACACUGUGUACUAUGUGGUCCUUUCCAUUUGCUUUGCCAUAUUCAAGGUCAAAAUGUUGGAUGGUUUGGCACCUUUUGAUUUUAAGACAAAUCCAUCAUGGCUUAACCCACAUUAUUUAGUUCUUGUAGUCUCAUUGGAAAUAACUUUCUUCAUUUGUGGUCUGCUGUUUGCCCUUGUGGUGGAAGAAUGGGUUUGGGAUUAUGCUGUAACAGUUACUGUUAUUCAUAUAAUCAUAACUUCCAUCGUUAUGUCUGAAUUUCCUCUGAUGAUACACUGGUGGCUGGCAUUAGGUAUAACAAUCUUUAAAUUGUUGUUGUUAGAAUCUAGAAAAAUAGCAUUUACAGUAUGAGAUUUUUUUCUAUUUUGGUUUCAGUAAUUUGGGAAUUGAGAAUAUUUAAGGAAGAUACAUAUGUUUUUCAUUUAUGUUUCUUGUAAGAACACAGAAAAGUAACACUGGGCUAACAUCUAUUUUAAGACCAAAAUGUACUCAGCUUAUGAUAAUCUUCAUAACAAAUUGCAGAUAUGUUCAUGUUGCUGAAAUGAGUCAUGCUAACUCCAAACUGAUCAAAUUAUCUCAUCUAAUUCAGGUGUCAAAGAGACAGAUUUCCAAGCUAGCCUUCCUUGGUACUCUUUACAGUCAAUGGAAAGAAAAAGAGUUCAAAAAUAAUUUAUAUGAAUGCUACGAUAGAGGAACGACAUGUAUUAAGCCCAAGAAAGGAAGGUUUGGAUUGGAUGUCAGGGGGAAGUUCUUUACAGAGAGAGUGGUGAGGUGCUGGAACGGGCUGCCCAGAACGACUGUGGGUGCUCCAUGGCUGGAGGUGUUCAAGGCCAGUUUGCAUGGGGCCCUGGGCAGCCUGGUCUAGUACCAGCUCUGGAGGUUGCUGGCCCAGCCUGUGGCAGGGGGGCAGGAGCUUGAUGAUCCUUGGGGUCCCUUCCAACCCAAGCCGUUCUGUGAUUCUAUGAUUCUAUGUAUCCCUCUCAGCAGGAGGAAUACGCCAUAGUGUUUAGUUAAAGCUAAGUACAGACUUAAACGCAAGGCAAACAUCCAUUUACAAUGAGACGGUUUCUACUUUUGUCGCUUCCCAGAAAUCUGGCUUUUUCUGAGGGAAAAUUCAGUGAUUGCUUCUGCUAUGGCUUCAGGACUCCUCCUCCAUCUCAGCCAAUGCUUUACGUAGGAUGCACUGCCAUGUCCUUGCAGAGAUACGCAUUUUCUUCUCAAGUUUCCUCUCUCUACCCAGUGAAAGUUGUAUGAUGCUCUGGGGCUUCUUAUUCGCAGUUGAUCUUUAGAUGUUUGUUGGAAUGGUUUGGAGGUUAAGAGGAUGUCUACCCUAAAUGCUGACAUUUUCACCAUUCACACGUAAAAACAAGCAACUAAGCCACAUGUCUUUUGAUUUAUUUGCCAGAAAUAAUAGCAGAGAAUUCAGUAUCUCUCUGCAGGAGGAAUACACCAUGGUAUUUAGCCAGGCCCUUCUCUGCAGAGCUCCUCUCCUGCAGGCCAGCCCCUACCAGUUAGAGGCGUGUCCGACCCGCAGCCCAGCUGGCCCUGUGCCCGCCCGCUGCCCCGUGCCAUCAUGGCAGCGGCACUGCCCCGCCCAGUGGCCCAGCCCGGCACCGCAGCACCAGCUGAACACCGGUGUGCUACAAACCUGUGUGGUGCUGGCCCAUGACAUCCGAGGCAGAUGGCGGUGGUGUGGCAGUAGGGGUUGAACCUGCCCACCGAUAUUCCGUUACGUGUUGUUGCCGUGCAACAGAUGGCAGCAGAGGAGCAGUCUGACACAACGGCGUCUGACGUGGAAGUGUGGACGAAGCAGAGGUGUGGUGUGUCACUGAACUCCUCCAUGCAGAAAAUCUGUCACCAUUGACAUUCAUCGAUGCACAAGUGCACACGUGCAGUAACACAUACACACGCGCGCGCGCGCGAGACAGCCUGCGCUGAUCAGGUGCAGAGCACGGCCAGACGAGCGCGGUGACCAGCAGCUUAUGUACAUGCAACUGCCCCCUUUUAUCCAUUUUUCCCUCCUCUCCAACCUCUGGUUCCUCCUUCACGUUGCUUGCGAUCUCAAGAUGCCCUGUUCUACAUCCCAAGCAACGACUGGGGUGGACAGAGUUGGCCAGAGGUGCCUCUAGAGCCUUUCCCCAGCUCCUUGCAGGCUCCCCCAGCUGUGGGGCUGCUCACCUCCUGUGACAGCACAGGGAAGGGCCAGAGUUCCCCAGCCCAUGGGCCUCUGGUUCUUCCACGAAUGGGCAACAGCGGCCUUUCAUCGCAUAACCCAGCACCGCCUCGUCGCUAUGAAGUCCAUACAGGAUUUGGGAAAUGUCACCAACAGCAAGUAACACGGCUGCUGUGGAAGCGGAGGUGAUGUGCAGUGGCGAAAUGUCAGCACCUUCAGCAGUGGCCGUCACCUGCCGCCAGCGCGGCCUGCAGGCACGUACACAUCAGGGGCAAGGACAAGUGAAGCAAAAGAGGAAGGAUGAGAAUGAGAGGGGUGAAAGGGAGCGUGAGCGUCAGGCAGAGGUGAUCUGGAAGGGUGCUGCUAGAGAGGCAGCUGGCCUCAACCUGCUGCUCGGAGAAAGGAGGCCGAGGGUGAAGAAGGCACAGAGAAAUGAGAGGGAGGCAGGCGGGAACAGAACAUGUCAUCUGACGUGGAGAAAGAUGAGCUCUGCAGGGCUAAUUCUUUGCCUGCCGAUACAAGGAAACGGAAACACGCCGUGAAGGAGGAUGCAGAAAAAUAAGUAAGCAGCUGGAUAAAGAAAAACAUAUGAAACGAGCAGAGUCUAAUGUGGAAAUAUAAGCGAGCAGGAGUGAGAGGACCCAUGGCAAACCACCUGGUUAUGCCGAAGGGAAUUCUCCAAGAGUUCGGAGCAAAACAGACCUGUACCUCUAAGUCAAAACUUAGGAAGAACCCGGUGUUCGUGUAGUUCUCUGACUGUGAACUACAAAGUAACCAGUUUUGGCAAGCCAUGUGUUUGGAUGAUAUUCUGCAGGAGACACAACGUAUCCACAGCAGGGGUCUUGGUGUCCCGUGGAAAUGCCCACGCCUGCGCAGCCACAAGCUGUGCUGCGGGACGUCCGCUGCCCUUGCAGACCAGCGCAUGGCGUAACUGGUAUGGAGAAGAGACGGUCUACAGCAGCUAUUAAAAUGAAGACUUGGUGAAAAAAAAUACUCUUUUCACUCCUUAGCCAGGAUUCUGGCAUUCAAAGUUUUUAAUAAAUAAUACAAAUCUUUUA
This is a long non-coding RNA of Numida meleagris (helmeted guineafowl), 5235 nucleotides long. RefSeq lists it as uncharacterized. NCBI's taxonomy places the organism in Eukaryota, Metazoa, Chordata, Aves, Galliformes, Numididae. The record is from RefSeq and is a predicted model, not a curated record. The transcript is spliced from 8 exons.